GGAGAGGUGGCUGAGUGGCUGAAGGCACCGGUUUGCUAAACCGGCGUACGGGUUAAGGCCUGUACCGCGGGUUCGAAUCCCGCCCUCUCCG
RNAcentral lists this transfer RNA (91 nucleotides) under Phycisphaerae bacterium. Its description in RNAcentral is "tRNA-Ser". It matches the Rfam family "tRNA". From Rfam's summary of the family: Transfer RNA (tRNA) molecules are approximately 80 nucleotides in length. Lineage: Bacteria; Pseudomonadati; Planctomycetota; Phycisphaerae. RNAcentral also lists the same sequence under 1 other name. The record is from RNAcentral.